RNAcentral lists this ribosomal RNA (530 nucleotides) under uncultured bacterium. RNAcentral's name for it is "bacterial SSU rRNA". It matches the Rfam family "Bacterial small subunit ribosomal RNA", at positions 748 to 1258 of the family's 1533-position model. The record is from RNAcentral.
CAUGCACGAAAGCGUGGGGGAGCCAAACAGGAUUAGAUACCCCUGGGUAAGUCCCACGCCCUUAAAACGAUGUCGGACUUAGUCGUUCGGGAGCCAGCCAAUGCCACUGGAGUGAACGCAGCUAACGCGUGAAGUCGUCCCGCCUGGGGAGUACGGCCGCAAGGUUAAAACUCCAAAGGAAUUGACGGGGACCCGCACAAGCGGUGGAUGAUGUGGAUUAAUUCGAUGCAACACGAAAAACCUUACCUACCCUUGGCAUGCCAGGAACCUUGCUGAGAGGCGAGGGUGCCUUCGGGAGCCUGGACACAGGUGCUGCAUGGCUGUCGUCAGCUCGUGUCGUGAGAUGUUGGGUUAAGUCCCGCAACGAGCGCAACCCUUGUCACUAGUUGCCAUCAUUUGGUUGGGCACUCUAGCGAGACUGCCGGUGACAAACCGGAGGAAGGUGGGGAUGACGUCAAGUCCUCAUGGCCCUUAUGGGUGGGGCUUCACACGUCCAUAACAAUGGUCGGUACAGAGGGUUGCCAAACCGC